GUUGACCUCGGAUCAGGUAGGGAUACCCGCUGAACUUAAGCAUAUCAAUAAGCGGAGGAAAAGAAACCAACAGGGAUUGCCCCAGUAACGGCGAGUGAAGCGGCAGGAGCUCAAAUUUGAAAUCUGACCUCCUCCGGGGGUCCGAGUUGUAAUUUGCAGAGGAUGCUUCGGGUGCGGCCCCCGUCUAAGUUCCUUGGAACAGGACGUCAGAGAGGGUGAGAAUCCCGUCUUGGCGGGCGCCCGCGCCAGUG
RNAcentral lists this ribosomal RNA (251 nucleotides) under Trichophyton verrucosum. Its description in RNAcentral is "partial 28S ribosomal RNA". It matches the Rfam family "Eukaryotic large subunit ribosomal RNA", at positions 1 to 246 of the family's 3401-position model. Lineage: Eukaryota; Fungi; Ascomycota; Eurotiomycetes; Onygenales; Arthrodermataceae. The record is from RNAcentral.